This 348-nucleotide unclassified non-coding RNA is filed under the name soil metagenome. Its description in RNAcentral is "partial contains 5.8S ribosomal RNA, internal transcribed spacer 2, and large subunit ribosomal RNA". The stretch from base 1 to 120 matches the Rfam family "5.8S ribosomal RNA", at positions 35 to 154 of the family's 154-position model. The record is from RNAcentral.
GAUGAAGAACGUAGCGAAAUGCGAUAAGUAAUGUGAAUUGCAGAAUUUAGUGAAUCAUCGAAUCUUUGAACGCACAUUGCGCCCGCUGGUAUUCCGGCGGGCAUGCCUGUUCGAGCGUCAUUUCAACCCUCAAGCCCCCGGGUUUGGUGUUGGGGAUCGGCUCUGCCCUUCUGGGCGGUGCCGCCCCCGAAAUACAUUGGCGGUCUCGCUGCAGCCUCCAUUGCGUAGUAGCUAACACCUCGCAACUGGAACGCGGUGCGGCCAUGCCGUAAAACCCCAACUUCUGAAUGUUGACCUCGGAUCAGGUAGGAAUACCCGCUGAACUUAAGCAUAUCAAUAAGCGGAGGA